CCCUUGGUGGUGUAGUUGGUUAUCGCGUUCGGCUGUAAUUGUUGUAUUUGCUACCGAAAUGUCGCCGGUUCGAUUCCGGCCCGAGGGA
Molecule: non-coding RNA, 88 nt
Organism: Hypoxylon sp. FL0890
Lineage: Eukaryota; Fungi; Ascomycota; Sordariomycetes; Xylariales; Hypoxylaceae
Source: the annotation of a GenBank genome assembly